AGAUUCCUGAGAUACACGAUAACCCUUUGUAUUUGAACCUACAGUAAUUUGACGGGAUUUAGUUGUAUGUGUGCGGAUGUCAGGCCGUAUAUCAGCGGAAGGCAGAAACACUCAUCACGGAACCCACCUGGCGGACGCUAGGCGUCAAAAAAAAGGGCCGGUAUUUUGGGAAUUUU
Molecule: non-coding RNA, 176 nt
Filed under: Clostridiaceae bacterium
Lineage: Bacteria; Bacillati; Bacillota; Clostridia; Eubacteriales; Clostridiaceae
Also listed under: 1 other name
Description: 6S RNA
Rfam family: 6S / SsrS RNA
About the family: E. coli 6S RNA was the first non coding RNA to be sequenced, but its function was unknown until recently. It consists of 184 nucleotides that fold into an extended hairpin structure with a large single-stranded internal bulge.
Source: RNAcentral